RNAcentral lists this ribosomal RNA (497 nucleotides) under uncultured bacterium. Its description in RNAcentral is "partial 16S ribosomal RNA". It matches the Rfam family "Bacterial small subunit ribosomal RNA", at positions 28 to 507 of the family's 1533-position model. The record is from RNAcentral.
GAUAAACGCUGGCGGCGUGCCUAAUACAUGCAAGUCGAGCGAACAGACGAGGAGCUUGCUCCUCUGACGUUAGCGGCGGACGGGUGAGUAACACGUGGAUAACCUACCUAUAAGACUGGGAUAACUUCGGGAAACCGGAGCUAAUACCGGAUAAUAUAUUGAACCGCAUGGUUCAAUAGUGAAAGACGGUUUUGCUGUCACUUAUAGAUGGAUCCGCGCCGCAUUAGCUAGUUGGUAAGGUAACGGCUUACCAAGGCAACGAUGCGUAGCCGACCUGAGAGGGUGAUCGGCCACACUGGAACUGAGACACGGUCCAGACUCCUACGGGAGGCAGCAGUAGGGAAUCUUCCGCAAAGGGCGAAAGCUUGACGGAGCAACGCCGCGUGAGUGAUGAAGGUCUUCGGAUCGUAAAACUCUGUUAUUAGGGAAGAACAAAUGUGUAAGUAACUAUGCACGUCUUGACGGUACCUAAUCAGAAAGCCACGGCUAACUACGUG